AAGUCGUAACAAGGUUUCCGUAGGUGAACCUGCGGAAGGAUCAUUAUUGAAUAAGCUUGGUUGGGUUGUUGCUGGCUCUCCGGAGCAUGUGCACGCCUGACAACCAACCUUUUACCACCUGUGCACCUUUUGUAGACCUGGAUAUCUCUCGAGGAAACUCGGUUUUGAGGAUUGCCGUGCGCAAGCCGGCUUUCCUCGCACUUCCGGUCUAUGUUUUUAUAUACCCCUACACAUGUUUUAGAAUGUCAUUAAUGGGCUUAACUGCCUUUAAAUCUAUACAACUUUCAACAACGGAUCUCUUGGCUCUCGCAUCGAUGAAGAACGCAGCGAAAUGCGAUAAGUAAUGUGAAUUGCAGAAUUCAGUGAAUCAUCGAAUCUUUGAACGCACCUUGCGCUCCUUGGUAUUCCGAGGAGCAUGCCUGUUUGAGUGUCAUGAAAUUCUCAACCUUGUCAUCAUUUAUGUUGAUCAGGCUUGGAUGUGGGAGUUUGCGGGCUUCUCAGAAGUCGGCUCUCCUUAAAUACAUUAGCGGGACCUUUGUUGNCCAGCUUUAGUGUGAUANUUAUCUACGCUAUCGUUGAAAGCAGCUUUUAAUGGGGUACAGCUUCUAAUCGUCUCAUUUGAGACAACUUCUGACAAUUUGACCUCAAAUCAGGUAGGACUACCCGCUGAACUUAGGCAUAUCAAUAAGCGNAGGAAAAGAAACUAACAAGGAUUCCCCUAGUAACUGCGAGUGAAGCGGGAAAAGCUCAAAUUUAAAAUCUGAUGGUCCUUGUGGCUAUCCGAGUUGUAAUCUAGAGAAGUGUUAUCCGCGCUGGACCGUGUACAAGUCUCCUGGAACGGAGCGUCAUAGAGGGUGAGAAUCCCGUCUUUGACACGGACUACCAGGGCUUAUGUGAUGCGCUCUCAAAGAGUCGAGUUGUUUGGGAAUGCAGCUCUAAAUGGGUGGUAAAUUCCAUCCAAAGCUAAAUAUUGGCGAGAGACCGAUAGCGAACAAGUACCGUGAGGGAAAGAUGAAAAGAACUUUGGAAAGAGAGUUAAACAGUACGUGAAAUUGUUGAAAGGGAAACGCUUGAAGUCAGUCACGUUGGCCAGGGAUCAACCUUGCUUUUGCUUGGCGUACUUUCUGGUUAACGGGUCAGCAUCAAUUUUGACCGGUGGAUAAAGGUCAGGGGAAUGUGGCAUCUUCGGAUGUGUUAUAGCCCUUGGUUGCAUACAUCGGUUGGGAUUGAGGAACUCAGCACGCCGCAAGGCCGGGUUUUUAACCACGUACGUGCUUAGGAUGCUGGCAUAAUGGCUUUAAUCGACC
This 1307-nucleotide ribosomal RNA is filed under the name uncultured fungus. RNAcentral's name for it is "eukaryotic LSU rRNA". The stretch from base 640 to 1307 matches the Rfam family "Eukaryotic large subunit ribosomal RNA", at positions 1 to 649 of the family's 3401-position model. The record is from RNAcentral. Lineage: Eukaryota; Fungi.